UGGAAUCUCCACACAAUCCUAUACGGGCUCCUGUAUCUUGUCCCAACUCCCUCUAUGCCGGGCUUACUUUGAGGAUAUUUUCGUUAUUUUCUUAAACACUCAACCAUUUUUCGUCCCCACCGACCAGUGUUCGUACUCUUGCUGAGAAGUAAGAGGAUUUUUACAGUCUACAAAUUACAUGGAUACUCUGGAUAUGUAUAAUUAUCAUCCUCGGGAUUAUGAGGUAAGGGCUCACCCGGAACCGGAAAUGGCCAGAAACAAAAGGUUAAGCACCCCCGGGUACUUCACGAGCACCAAGGGUCACUCAGUGUUGAGAAAUAAAUGGGGGUAUGGAGGGAGGGCCAUGUCACCUGUAGAUGACCUCUACCUAUCAGACGUCUACCGUCCCAGGAAUACAUCAUAUUAUGACACUACAGGGACGGAGAACGAGAUACGGAGAAACGUCAACCGCGAGCUUCUCUUUUCGUCACACGCUGCAGAUGAUGCAUUCGACGUAGCGGCCAAAUCCAGAAAUAGAGACCAAGAAAUUCUCAGAGAGGCCACUAACGCAAUCGUGAACACUGAGACCCAUGCCAGUCCAAAAGCUGCAGUGGCGGCCAGGCGUGCACGAUCCCAUAGCCACUUCACGUACCACCACCCAACGGCCGCUCCCAAGUCCUACCUACCACCACCUAAGACCACCACCAUCUCUACUCCCUCAUACUCCUAUGUCCGACGACCGAGGAAAGAGGUAGUAGUAGUAUCUUCCUUGUCACGUCCUCGACCUGCUUCCGCCACGGACUCAUUCUACAGAGUCUAUACCAAGAGGGCGGCCAUGGCUGACUGGUAUCCCAGUAGUAUUCCGACUAUCCCACACUACAAUCCCUGGUGGCGUUACUACACCGCCGCGAACCAGCUAAACCACAGCUAUUACCCGAUCAGGUCGCCACGUGUGAUCAAAACCGUCUGUGGUCCGAAAGUUUCCUCGGCAAUCGAGAUGUAUUCUAAUUAUUUUUCGGUGUUCCCUUCAAGAUUCGUGUAUCCGGCACGCUACAGGUUGUACGAUUAUGAUUACCCAGCUUUCCAUCGGAAGACUGCACGGUUUCUGGCCAUACCUCUUGUGUACAAACGAAAAUACGUCGGAAAGGCCGCUCUAGUGGGAAGCAGGGUCGACGUUGUUACACCAAAAAGCCGUAAACCCAAGUCGGAAUAUGCUGCCAAGGUUAUACGCAGAAUUAGGAAGGAAGAGAGGGAUCAGACUGUCCCCGAGGAUGUCACGGUUUCAGUGAAGUCCACAUCCAAGCCAGUUUCAACAACGUCUACAAGAGGAGGGAAAGCUAUACGAGCAGUUGAUGGGUAUACUCAACCCAAAAAUAUUUUGUCUUGGCAGUAUCGUAUUGAUUCACGCGUGGACCCGGAGGACGUCAUCCAAAUGCCGAAAACGUAUGAAGCCGUGAGAAAACAAAUGAAAGAUGUCCAAUGCAGGAUGGACAAACAUCGCCAGCUAAUGGACAGGUACCUAGAGCCAGAUUUGAAACCCGAAACCGAGGACGUAAAGAGUAAAAUUAUGAAUUUGUACGUGGAUAUGGAGCAGAGAAACCCCUCUCUUUUCAGGGCAACUGGAGAAAGCGUUACGUCGUCAUCAACUGAACAUAGGGAAAUUUCUACUUCGGUACGAGCAACUUCUGUACGUCCGCCGCCUGUCCUAACUAUGGUUGAGAUUGACCUUGAUGACCUCUGAUAAUCCGAAAAUGCGCGCAUCAGAGGGGAACGUGUAUUAGUUUUAACCCUGCCAUCCAGUAUCAUCGAGAUGACAGCGAAUUUCCCCCAAUGUCUGACGUACGUAGACGUGUACGAAGCGUGAUUCGCAAGAACAAGAGGGCUGCCUCAGUCCUUUAGUACAACUGGAGGUCAAUCUUAGGUACAAAUGGGAGGGACUAGAGUUCGGAUGAUAAAUUCUUGAGAGUCGAUGUUGCUGGCGUUUCUCUUUGAAAAUGGUCUCGAGGCUACACAGACAUAAUUCUGAAAUAUUUUCAUACCUUUUCUUUUUGAUGCGCUUUAAAUGGGUCGAACUACAACGCGGUACAGUGAUUGGUACAUAAUGUCUGCAUGAAGCAGACACGGGAUCCGCGAGGAGUCAAGCUGCCAAUCAUAUCAGUCUACGGGAGCUACUUGUGAGCAAGGCAUAGUCUUUCACAAUGAAUUAUGGGACUUAUUUAAUAUCAUCAACAAUAAUGGUUGUGGUGCGGUCGUCAACAGAAAUAUCAAGAUUCGAAAAGAUGGAAAUGGAUUCAUCGAAAAUAUUUUAGGAAUUGACAAACAUUCAGGAGUUGUCGAACGUGUGUUAAUAAACCACCUAGCCAGUGAAAAGUCUACAGAUCAUUUCUGACAAUGAAUUCACUUGUUCCUGUGCUUUAGGAAAUGAUCAGCAAGAUGUACAUUAAUUAUGCUUACUAUCCCUCUCGUUUGUGUACAAAGUUUUAUUUUAUUAUUGUGUGUAAAAUUCUCCAAUUCAUUACUAUACCUGAAUUGAACUGCCACAAAGCCACAUUGUGAUAAACAACAUUGUCUUUUUGUUUGAACUUUAUAUGAUAACAGACUCAUUUAUUUUAUAUACCAAUAAUGGUUAUGUGUUGGCAUCGUUGGUAUGAACGUGGUUAUCACCAAUAUUUUUGUAUUUGAGAUACAAGAGGAAUAUCAGAUGUACAUAAACCAUUGUUUAGAUCAGUAUAGGUAUGGGUAUAAAACUAAUUUAUUAUUAUUUAAAUAAGAUUACGUUUCUUUUACUAUUUUGUGUUUAUUAAUUUAACUGAUCAAAGAUAUACAGCAUAAUAUGAAUUGUAUAUCCUGCUUAAGGUGCGGUUUGUUCUAGAAAUGGAGAAAUGUACGUAAUUUCAUGAUAUUGUUUACAUUAUUAUUAAUUUAGCUACAUAAAAAAUGUGAACGCCCUCGAA
Molecule: unclassified non-coding RNA, 2933 nt
Filed under: Mizuhopecten yessoensis (Yesso scallop)
Lineage: Eukaryota; Metazoa; Mollusca; Bivalvia; Pectinida; Pectinidae
Description: uncharacterized LOC110446328, transcript variant X23
Source: RNAcentral